Molecule: long non-coding RNA, 670 nt
Organism: Felis catus (domestic cat)
Lineage: Eukaryota; Metazoa; Chordata; Mammalia; Carnivora; Felidae
Exons: 2
Source: RefSeq, a predicted model, not a curated record
UGAACGCCAGCCUUCCUACCUACUUAGGUCAGAGCUCCAAGUGAUCCCAGGCCUUUCGGACCUGUUCAGUUUAUUUCUGACCUUGAUGCCUUCGGUGUGCUGAACUUGAGAGAACAUCCCGGCCCUUCGACUCCUGCACGUUUCUCCUCACUGCUCCUUAGCACUUGGUGCCUUGCCAUCUUGAAAACGGUCUCCUCAGUGUCACCAUGAUUCCAUUUCAGGCCCUCACCACCACCUUCCUGCUCGCAGAGAUAUGGACCCCCUUGGCAUUUACUCCAUCUGGACAGGGUGCUCGGCUCUGUUACAAGUGGGUCCAGGAAGGGGCGUCCUCACUCCCUAUGGGAGGAGCCGUCGCCUCCGGGACAGGUGGCGAAAUCAUCCUCCGAUGCCAGCUCCCUACAUGGCAUUGCCAGCGGCUUUUGUUGCACUUUGGAAAACAGGGUCGAUCCCGGAGGUGGGAGGGGGGAUUAAAAAAAAACCCUCAAGAUGAAAUGUGGUCGUCAAAAAACAAAACUGUCGUAGACAGGACUGCGGCGAGGGCACGAGAACUUUUAAAUCACAAGUAAUUUUUUUUUGAACUGUAAGGUUACCUGUGACAGAGCACGACAUAACAUCCCACCUAUUUUCCCGGGGCAAAGUCUGCUUGUUAUUACAAAUUUCAGCAACUGUA